ACCGCCGGCGGCCCCGCCCCGCGAAGCCUAGCACUCUCCCCAAACCUCUCUCGCACGCGGGGACUGAGCACGGCCCGAAAAGCCGAGGACAGCCGGACUCACCCUGUAGUUAUAGUAGUGCGUCUGCACAAGAUGCCGGUGGCGCGACUUGUGGUUGCCGAAGUUGGAUUUCUCGCAAACCAAGAUGGGGUCUUGCUGUGUUGCCCAGACUGGUCUCAAACUCCUGAGCUCAAGUGAUCCACCCACCGUGGCCUCCCAAAGUGCUGAGAUUAAAGGCUACCCAUGGGGACCUCAACAGCUUUGCCAUUGCACACUAUCUUUGCAGACAAGAUCUUAAUCACAUCCAACUUUCUGCAGUUGCACAGGGUACCUCAGACCCACAUCCCAGAUGACAUUCCUCAGAAGCUCGCAGCUGGAGAUGACAUCACCUUAGACAACAUCACCCUAGCCCAAGACAUCGCUAUUAGAGAUACAUCACCUGGACACUAAAGCCUCCAACCCAGUGACACUCUCAAGGUGCUGACAAAAUGGACAUGGACAUUUGUUGCUUUUCUUCUUUUGAAUUAGGAACUCUAUUGUGUUUCCUGAAUUUACUGUCUGCUUGGCCCAUGAUCCUGCUGGGAAACCUCUUAUCCUCAUCACCAGUGCCAGGGUCCAGCUUCAGGAGGGCAGGGCUCACCUGCUUUACUUCCAGAUCACCAUGUGCAGCGUGGAGCUUCCCUCUGACGUGUUUGUUGGAUUUGUUUCAAAAAGGCGGCCAUGGUUUCUUUUUUUCCUUCCUCGGCCCUGAUUAAUUUCAACAGAAGAAAAUGUAUCCCCUCUAGUUUGUGAUGGAAUCCAAGCUUAAUUAGCCAUUCAUGGUGCUAAACUGUCCUGCACUGGAUGACCCAAUCGCUUCUGAUUUUCCAAGCUUGGCUCUCAGACCAUCCUGGUGGAAGAAACACUAGCAGUCUGCCCAAUCUGAAUGCAAAUCCAGAAUAAUCUUUUCUUUUGUUGUUACACAGUUAUGAGUGCAAUUUUUAAAUGGCUGCUACUCUACAGCCUGCCUGCCUUAUGCUUUCUCCUGGGCACGCAGGAAAGUGAGAGCUUCCACUCCAAAGCAGAGAUCCUAGUGACACUAAGUCAGGUAAUAAUCUCUCCAGCUGGACCUCAUGCACUCACAUGGACAACACACUUCUCUCCUUCAGUGAUCAUCAUCCUUGUACCAUGUUGGUGGCAUGCUGUAAUCGUGACUCAACAUCCGGUUGCCAAUUGCUAUGUAACAAACCACCUCAACAUUCAGUGGCUUGAAUUGAAAGCAGGGUCUUGAAGAGAUAUUUGCACAUUUCAUCCUCCCAGCAGCAUUAUUCACAACAGCCAAUAGGCAGAAGCAACCCAAUGUCCAACCAUAGAUGAGUGGAUAACCAAAAUGUAGUCCAUCCAUACAAUGAAAUAUGAUUCAGCCUUAACAAGGAAGGAAGUCCCGCCACGUGCUACAACAUGGAUGGACCUUGAGGACACUAUGCUAAGUGAAGUAAGCCAGGCACAAAAGGACAAAUACUCUAUGAUUCCAUUUUAUAGGGUACCAAAGAGAAUCAAACUCACAGAGAUAGAAAGUAGACUGGGGUGGCCAGGGACUCGGGGAGAGAGGAAAGGGCAGUUAUUGUUUAAAAGGUACAGAGUUUCAGUUUGGGAAGAUGAAAAUGUUCUGGAAACGGUUAAUGGUGAUUUUACAUUGUUUAUGUUACCACGAUUUGUAAAAGAGCAGCUGCGCUGAGAAUGAGCAUGCUUGUCAUUGGCAGCUCUCUGAGAUUUUCAGUGCCUCUUACUGGCUUGUUAAGAAGACGGCA
Homo sapiens (human) is the source of this 1829-nucleotide long non-coding RNA. Ensembl annotates it as LYRM4 antisense RNA 1. Its record names the gene LYRM4-AS1. The record is from Ensembl. NCBI's taxonomy places the organism in Eukaryota, Metazoa, Chordata, Mammalia, Primates, Hominidae.